RNAcentral lists this ribosomal RNA (777 nucleotides) under uncultured Neocallimastigales. Its description in RNAcentral is "partial large subunit ribosomal RNA". It matches the Rfam family "Eukaryotic large subunit ribosomal RNA", at positions 24 to 645 of the family's 3401-position model. The record is from RNAcentral. Lineage: Eukaryota; Fungi; Neocallimastigomycota; Neocallimastigomycetes; Neocallimastigales.
UACGACUACAUAUCAGGCAUAUCAAUAAGCGGAGGAAAAGAAACUAACUAGGAUUCCCUUCAGUAACGGCGAGUGAAGCGGGAAGAGCUCAAAUUUGAAAUCUUCAAGGUUCUACCUUGACGAAUUGUAGUUUAAAGAAGUGUUUUCUGUUGGUAGUUUUGGUAAAAGUUCUUUGGAAUAGGACAUCAUAGAGGGUGAGAAUCCCGUAUUUGACCAUUUACUUCCAGCUGUGUGAUACACUUUCAAAGAGUCGGAUUGUUUGGGAAUGCAGUCCAAAAUGGGUGGUAAAUUUCAUCUAAAGCUAAAUAUUGGCGAGAGACCGAUAGCGAACAAGUACUGUGAGGGAAAGAUGAAAAGAACUUUGAAAAGAGAGUUAAACAGUACGUGAAAUUGUCAAAAGGGAAGCGUUUGACACCAGUGUUGUUUUCUCGAAAAUCAAUUAAAAAUGACCGGAUUUUGUGUUGUAUUGACUUUAUCAGCUUUCUGCACUUUUUUCUUGUCUUUUUUAAUGCACUUUUCGUUUAACAAGUCAACAUCAAUUUCUUUUGUUGUAAAAGAGUCAUUGGAAGGUGGCUUUCACUUCGGUGAAAGUGUUUAUAGCCUUUGACUUCUGCAAUCGGAGAGAUUGAGGUCUGCAGCGUAGAUCCUUCGGGGUUAGAUACAUUUGUGCUAAGUUAUAGUUUUUCAUAGACAACAUGUUGACUAUGAUUAAUCAUGUAGCUUACUCGCUUAUGCUAUUUUACCUACGCUUAGGAUGUUGAUCUCUCACAGUCGAGC